CAAGCUCACCACCACCCUCACAACAAAGAAAGAAUUCAACUCACCUCAACUGUAAAAAUGCAGCAAGAGUGAUGCCCAUUUGAGAUGAAAACACAGAAACCAGGGAAUCCACAGUCGUUCUCAACUCCAAGCUGGCAGAUUGAGAAGAAGUAUUCAACUAGUGUGCUUACUGGCAACUGGGUGGAAGAAAGGAGAAAGUUCACCAGAGAUACUGAGAAGGUCCCUCAGAGCAUUCACAGAAAGGAGUAUGUCCCCUUUCCAGGCCACAGGCCAGACCAGAUUUCCAGGUGGUAUGGGAAGAGGAGAGUCGAGGGCCUCCCAUACAAACACCUCAUCACCCACCACCAGGAGCCCGCGCAUCGCUAUCUGAUCAGCACCUAUGACGACCAUUACAACCGGCACAAUUAUAACCCGGACUUGCCCGCCCUCCGCACCUGGAGUAGACAGAAAUUGCUGUGGCUGCCAGAGAAGUCUGACUUCCCCCUUCUUGCUCCCCCUACAAACUAUGGGCUCUAUGAACAGCUGAAGCAGAAGUGGCUCACAUCCAAGCCUGGCCCGAGAGAAAGCAUUUAUACAUCGUCCUACCCCAGGCCACUGGUGUGCACAAUGUCCACGCGGGAAUAUGCCAUCCCGGUCCCUCCUCCUCGCCUGCAUCCUGUCCCACACUUCUGAGAACUGCAAGCCCACCAACAGCUCAGCCAGAAACACCUGGAAACUCGCAGCAUCACCGGGCUUGCCUGACAGCAAGCAGUUGCAGACAAACCCAGAAUAUUAAGUCUGGCCCACUGGAGGGUCCCUGAGAAUCAUGGGGGUCUGAGUAUCCUGUCUUUCUUCAUGACCGAAAACAUCCGUGGGACAUGCUGCUAUGUAGUAGGAAUAUUAAAACUCCACUGUAAUCUCAGAAACCACCUUCCUGUAAGACUGCAUAUCCAGCGAGCCAGCAAGAAGAAGACCUGGGAUCUACAGAUCCACUGACCAAAUGCCUCACUGGGGAUGUCAGAUUUGAACUUGAGACCUGAGGGCUCUACGUCCUUCUACUUCCUACAGGGCCCCAGCUGAACCACUGAUUGGGCAAGAGUCAGGAAGUUGUGGCUGCCAACCCUACCAGUCUUCCACUACAUACCCCACUCCAGAAUUAACUCCAUUCUUCCAGGCUCCCUUGCCGGAGAGCCCCAAGAAUAUCUUGAAUUCUUGUUCCAGAAGGAAAGAAGGCCUAUGCUUGGUCAGAUAGAAGAAUGUAGAAGGGAAACUAUUAUUAAGCAAGAGGAAGGGAAUAAGAGGUAAGGGUAGGGGUAUAAUGGUGGACAAGAGGAAGCACAGAUAUGAGCAAAAUACAUGUGCAUACUGAGCCCCUCCCAAAUAAUGUGAA
Fukomys damarensis (Damara mole-rat) is the source of this 1369-nucleotide RNA transcript. It is a transcript of the gene named chromosome unknown C1orf158 homolog, with no coding region annotated. The transcript is spliced from 7 exons. NCBI's taxonomy places the organism in Eukaryota, Metazoa, Chordata, Mammalia, Rodentia, Bathyergidae. The record is from RefSeq and is a predicted model, not a curated record.